This 973-nucleotide long non-coding RNA is filed under the name Homo sapiens (human). RNAcentral's name for it is "HSALNT0128203". Lineage: Eukaryota; Metazoa; Chordata; Mammalia; Primates; Hominidae. The record is from RNAcentral.
AUACAGGCCAGCUGUUGCCUAGCAACAUGAGACCAGCUAAUAAGGAGAAGUUGGAGGCUUAUUUUCCUAGACUGCAGAUGGACUCUAAAUAAGGAAGUUAAGUUUUAUGUGCCUUCUUGUGAUGAAGAUGGAUCCUCACACUUAUACUGUGCUUUAAGGUACUGAGGAAAGGCCAUGUGGGCAGGCAGCAAGAAGGCAGCCAUCUGGAAGCUAGGAAGAAAAUCCUUACCAGAACCCAACCAUUUUGGCACCCUAAUCUCAGACUUCCAGCCUCCUCGAAGAAAAUAAACUGCUGAACACCAUGUGGAAGCUGCUAAGGCUUAUGGCUUACAUUCUUUGAGGCAGUGACCUGACAUGUAACUGGAUCCCGUUUAGCCAUGGUUGAAGUUGGAUACUCCUUGCUCCUCAGAUUGCAGACGGCCUAUUGUGGGACCUUGUGAUCAUCAAGGCAAGAAGGCCUGACACGUUCAAUGUGCUCUAACCUCCUGCCAAGUAGUGUGCAAGGUUCAAGAGAUGGAAAAUUGGAAGCGAAAGUCCUUGGAGAAGCUCUCAUUCAACUGAAAGCAAAUAUGGAACAGAUAAGAAGGCAAGAAAAGGAUCAUCACAAAUAUAGCCUGACUGGAUGCUGUUUAGAGCAGUAGCUAUUCUAUAUCCUCACAUUCUCAGGUUCUAUAAUCUGAAAAUAGCUAAAUAAAAAUAAUAGCUGAGCCCAAACCACUGAGGUUGGUGUCAAUUCUUUCAUUACAAGAAACUAUCUCAGGGGCUGUUGAAUAAAAAUAAUGAUUUUAUUUUAUUCCCCCCCCAAACCCAUUAAAACACUAAUAAAGGGAAUUUUAAAAUAUACAAACUCAAAAAAAGAUGUGAAGGAUUGUAGAAAAGAGAAUAGCAACAAAAGUUUGGACCAAAAGAAAAUAAAUAAGUGAAUUUAAAAGACCCCCCCCACCCACCUACCCCAAAUAAAUUCUAUAUUCAU